Molecule: long non-coding RNA, 1504 nt
Organism: Tachysurus fulvidraco (yellow catfish)
Lineage: Eukaryota; Metazoa; Chordata; Actinopteri; Siluriformes; Bagridae
Exons: 4
Source: RefSeq, a predicted model, not a curated record
AUUUUUUAUAAAUUUACUUGUUUUAACUAGUUUCCAACCGUUUUGUUUAUACAUUAGUAUGUUAUUAUAUUAAUAACAUUAUUUAUAUGUUACUCUGGUAACCUUGGUUACACUUCCCUUCCUGAAUCCUAGCACGUCCCUGUGCUUGGGAGUCAUUAAGUCACACAGGUGAAACUGCAUUGGGUUCAGCAUUGUGACGUCUUAUAUAAUCAGAUUCCUCCACUGACUCAGAACGUGCAGAACUCAAUCCUUGCAAUAAAGACUGAAUGACUGAAAUCAAGGGAUUUCCCAGCCGUGCUUACUGCAACUUGUCUGGGGGUCUACUCUGCCUUUUUGAACGUCUUGGACCCAUAUCUCCUGCAUCCUCUGGCACAGAUGGAAUGUCUGGAAGAUGUCUGACAGGAGGUUCAACUCCAGAGGCGUCUGGUUCUGCAUGAUGCAUCACAGGUGAGUUCAUCUCACCUCCAUCACUAAUAGAGUUUCAUUCAACAGUUGAAUCAUCUCUUAGCUGAUCGAGGACAGUGGAUUUUGGAUUGCAGAAUCAACUACAGGUCCUUAAGAGAUUUCACAUACAACGAGUGAGACUGGGAAGAAUCAUUGACUGGGAGUCCAAAGACAAGAUCCACAGGCAAUUGAGGCUGGCGUCCGAACAUCAUUUCGUAAGGGUUUCUAGCUGCACCAAGCCCAGGAAGAUGGUAAAAGACGUCACUGCCAUCUGAACAACAAUAGACUCUUCUCUCUGCAGCAUCACUAUACACAGAGUCUAAUUUUGUUCUUUUUGAUAAUAUGGACAUUCAAUAAAGCAUUUUACUGUAUGUUGCUAUGUUUUGGCUCUGACCUUCUGGCAGGUAACACAGACAGCUGGACAGGCAGUUGGGUGUUCAAGCAGGUAAACAGAACAACACAAAUACAUACACAACACUUCUACCACUUGAGACAGUGGAGUAAAGACAUAAUCCUGUGCACAGCUCUAGCUGACAGUCAGCUUUCUUCAAAGAGAGAGACGUGAAACAGCAACUGAUAGAAGAAACAGGACCAUGUGAAGACAAAAAAUACAGAAAUCAAUUAUUUCUCUAGUUAUCUAGAACAUUGAAACAAAUAAAGUCUAAACAGUGAAGUUUACAACCAAACUGUAAAACAAAUCCACCCACAGUUCCCCUCCCCAGCUGCCGGACGGAGCCCUCAUCUGAAUAUUGAGACACUUCCAGGUCAAUGGUUAAUUCUUGGUUUUAGACAUUUUUGGGGGAAUUUUGGGAAAAAAACAAAAUUAUUCUAUCAUCUUGGUUAAUCAUGGCUUUUUUUUGAAUAUUUUAACACUCUUAUUAACUUAGACUCUCCACUAAAAUCAACACGAUGGUCUAAUCUCUGAAAUAUAACUUCAAUAAUAUCAAUGGUCCACAGAAUAUGUAGUGCUUCAGUGGCAUUACACGGCAGAACAGCUGUAGAACCCACACUCCUAGAUCUCAGCAGCAGAGAGGAGACCUGAGAUUCAUUCAUUCAUUCA